AGUGAACGCUGGCGGUAGGCCUAACACAUGCAAGUCGAACGGCAGCACAGUAAGAGCUUGCUCUUACGGGUGGCGAGUGGCGGACGGGUGAGGAAUACAUCGGAAUCUACUUUUUCGUGGGGGAUAACGUAGGGAAACUUACGCUAAUACCGCAUACGACCUACGGGUGAAAGCAGGGGAUCUUCGGACCUUGCGCGAUUGAAUGAGCCGAUGUCGGAUUAGCUAGUUGGCGGGGUAAAGGCCCACCAAGGCGACGAUCCGUAGCUGGUCUGAGAGGAUGAUCAGCCACACUGGAACUGAGACACGGAACAGACUCCUACGGGAGGCAACAGUGGGGAAUAUUGGACAAUGGGCGCGAGCCUAAUCCAGCCAUACCGCGUGGGUGAAGAAGGCCUUCGGGUUGUGAAGCCCUUUUGUUGGGAAAGAAAAGCAGCAGGUUAAUACCCCGCUGUUCUGACGGUACCCAAAGAAUAAGCACCGGCUAACUUCGUG
This 492-nucleotide ribosomal RNA is filed under the name uncultured bacterium. Its description in RNAcentral is "partial 16S ribosomal RNA". It matches the Rfam family "Bacterial small subunit ribosomal RNA", at positions 29 to 507 of the family's 1533-position model. The record is from RNAcentral.